RNAcentral lists this microRNA (21 nucleotides) under Malus domestica (apple). RNAcentral's name for it is "mdm-miR10981b". The record is from miRBase by way of RNAcentral. Lineage: Eukaryota; Viridiplantae; Streptophyta; Magnoliopsida; Rosales; Rosaceae.
UGACCAACAUAUAUGGGCCGU